CUCUCUCUCUCUCUCUCUCUCUGCAAGUCACUGUUUGUGUGUGUGUGUGUAAAGGCGCUGUGUCGCCUCCUGCUGGUCGGGCUAGAGCAUUGCACACGUGUCUAUCUUGGUAAAUGUACUUUAAUAUACUUUUUAAUCUUGUUAAUUCUCAUAGAUUUCCAUAUAAUUCAUUAAGGAUUAUCAAUUAAACACUAUUUUGAACAUUUAUUAUCUGUUAAAAAAAGAUUAAGUGAUAUAUGAAGAUGUAAUUAUUAUUAUUAUUAUUAUUAUUAUUAUUAUUAUUAUUAUUCACAGGAUCUGUCUAUGAUUAUUGCAGUUUGAUGCUUUAUUGUGGUUAAGUGUAAUUAUUUGCUCAAUUAAUCCCUGCAACACUUGAAUGUAUUCAAAUGUAUGUAUAUUGAAUGUAGGAAAACACAGAUUGUUUCAGAGGAAAGGUUCCGGUAGGUUCUCUACUACAUCCGGUUCUCAGCGGUGAGGUUCUGGAGCUUCAGGGCUGUAGGUGAAUAAACUAUUACUGAAUUGAGAGAACAAAUUCUGAUCUAAAUAAUGAUAAGAAGGAAAAAUACAGUUCCACUACUCACAUUCAGUCGGUGCUUGGCCCCCUAAUAACGACACGGUGGAGCCUCCAGAGAAAAUGGCCAGUGUAAAAGGAUUUACUGAUCUGACCACAUGGCCUCCACAAUUCUCGGUAUUUUGGAACAUUUUAUAUUCAAAUAUCAUUUUAUUUGUCUUUCCCUCUGUGUCUUCAUGAUUUCCUUUAUGGAUUAAUGAUCUCCGUGUGCUAUUUAAAUCAUUAAGAAUAAAAACACAGGAUGACAUAGAACAAAUAAUUGGGCCUGGCAUCCAAUCAGGGUUUACCUCAUUAGCAUAACAGCAAAGACGUCUGGGAACUGGGAUGCUACCAUGGACUCCUUAAGCGGGAGUCUUUUAUCUUUCCAAAGAGACCUGUCUGAGAGAAUGAGGAGGACAGGAGGAAGGUGGAGGAGGGCGAGUGACCAGUGGUAGUGUGGGUGAGAGGUUUUUAUACACGUCUGUACACACCACUGCCUUCAUCGCACCUUCAUACUGCUACAGCACCACUUUAUAUUCUUAAACCUGCCAAAAUACAGAUUAGACCCAGAAGGUUCAGUAACCACAACACUGACACUUACUCUCAUCUAACAUUCCUCAUAUCGGCGUCGGGUCCGGGUUUCUUCUCAUUAGCAUUAUGCACCCGUACCCGUUCCUUCUGCGGCGUGGUGGAUAGAGAGUGCCGGUACGGCGGCUCCUGAUGAUUCAGGUUCUUAUCUGGUUCAAGAAUAAACUGUGCUGUUGUAUUGUGAAGUGUUUCAUGAAGUCCAAAAAACACACACACAUGGUUGCUGUUCUUGCGGUGUAGCGGUCAGUGUUGGUGGUCCAGAAGGUGUGGGUUCUCGUCUGUGUUUUGGUUGGUUCGAGACUAAAAGUUGCUGCGUCUUCUUGAAGUUAUAACAACAGAAGUAUAACACACUAGACCUGGUUUAGUCCUUCUGUGGUGUAGUGGUUAGAGUUUGUGUCACUGUUGGGUUCUUCUAGAAGCUGUUGGUUCGGUUCUGCCUUUUGGCUGAUGUAAAUCUAAAAGUUUCUGUGGCCUCAAGAGGUGAAUUUUUGACGACAAAAGUCCAACACACAGCUUGCACACUGGCCCUCGGUGGUGUAGUGGUUAGUGGGGCAGCGAUUAUGGUGUAGUUUGUGCAGGUUCAAACCCUCUUUUUGGCAGGUUUUAGAAUAAACUGUGCUGUUGCAUUGUGAAGUUCAAAAAACACACAGUCGCACACAGGUGUUGUCUCUGUUCCUCUUUGGUGUAAUGAAAAUCCAACCAGAGUUAUCAGUUAAUGGGGAUGGGAUGAGUGUGUGGGUUGGGCUAAUGGGAGUGUAGGCUGGGCUAAGGGGAUGGGAAGAGUGUGUAGGCUGGGAUGGGAAGAGUGUGUCGGCUGGGCUGAGGGGAUGGGAGGAGUGUGUCGGCUGGGCUGAGGGGAUGGGAGGGUUGUAUAGGAUGAGGGGAGGAUUGGAGUGUGAAGAUGAGAGAGGGCAGACUAGCAUGAGGGGAUGGGAGGAGUGUGUAGUUAAGGUUAGGUUGAAGUGUCAAAGGGAGGGUUAGGCAAGCCUAGGGUGUGAAGGCAAGCCUAGGGGAGGGGUAGUGUGUGAAGGUUAGCUGAGAGUAGGGUUAGAGUGUCAAGGCUAGGGUGAAGGCAAGCCUAGAGGAGGGUUGGAGUGUGAAGGUGAGAAAGAGGAGCAGAGGGUGGAGAGUGCACACCCCUGAAUGUAGACUAGGAAUGUGUGGAUGAGGGGUGUGCACUUGGGGGUGGCGGAUGGGGUGGAGGCAGGCAGGAAGAAGUGUGUAGGUUGGACAAAGGGGAUGGGGGUAGGGUGUAGUCAAGGUUAGGUUGGAGGGUCUAGGGUGAAGGCAAGCCUAGGGGAGAGGUAAAGUGUGUAGAUUAGCUGAGGGGAGGGACAGAGUGUGCAGACUAGAAGGAGCAGCAGAGGGUGGAGAGUGCACACCCCUGAAUGUAGACUUGGAAUGUGUGGAUGAGGGGGAGGCAAGGAGGGGUGGGAGCAGGGAGGCAAGGAGGGGUGGGAGCAGGGAGGCAGGCAGCAAGGUGGUCAUAUUUUAAGUCAAAGUUAUAGUCAUGAAAACCGGUAUUGUUUACCAUGUCCAUUGAUGAGGUCACUAGAAUGAGAAUUUUAUGUGGGGAACACGGACGAGUGGAGCGAUACACACAGUGAAACGUCUCAGUGUGGUUCUACUAAAUAUAAGCACGCUUGGAUUUCCGUUCGUCCAAUCACAUCAGUGGACCACAACUAACUCUUGUAUAACUUGCAAAUAGAUGACAUGAGUUCCACAAAUAUAAAAGUAAGAUCCACAAAUAAACAGAAAGUGAUCCACAAAGAAAUGAAAUAAGACGCACAAAUAUUUUUGCAAUUAUAUAAAAAUUUGUAAUUGUAGUAGUAAUCAUCAUAUCAACUAUUGUAAAUCUGGUUUAAUUGAACAUUAUUCAGCAGCUUAUAAAUAGCACUUGAUCCAGAAUAUCCUAUUAUUUAAAAAAAAAAAAAAAAAAUAGUGCACAAACAGCACAACCUAAUAAAGAUAUUAAACCACAAGAUAUUACCUCAAGUUGCUAUUUUAGCAUUUUAACAAUAUUGAUUUUUUUUUUAUUUUAAUAAAGUUGUUACACUCUCAUGUAAAGAAAACAUGCCUGUAUUUUGAUGUAUAAACUGACCAAUCACUCAUCUACUAUGCUUAUAGCGCAGUUUCAAUGUGUGUUGUACAUCAUUUUAUCCAAUAAAUAUCAUGUAUUUAUAUUUUAAUGAUAUCUAAACCUGAUAUAUCCGAUAUAUGAAUAUGGUCCAUAAUUUCAACAACAAAAAAAAUUUUCAGGUCACUAUGAGAAAUGUUGAAGUAAUGCAUUUAGUUUACAUCCAGAACGCAUCCCAGGAAACAUUCACUGGAAACUCCUUCUGGAGGAAAAAAACUCCAUUGCUACUGAAAACACAUCAGCUGCCUGUGUGGGCAUCGUUGGUUCUGAAGCUGUACUCACCUCCGUUAACAUGUUGAGAAUAAACAAUACAAAUCCUGAUAGUACCAAUAGAAUAACAACAAGCUCCAAUCUGGGUAUGUGUCUGUCCAGGACUGGGUGCCAGGAUCACAACACACAGUGCCGGUUAGCCAUCAGCAAAUCUCACAAGGGACAGCUUCAACAAACUGAGAGAGAGCAAAGGACAUAAAACACAAAUGAACAUUGCUGUGCGUUUAUGACUUUUCCCCAAUGAGUUGCAGGCAUGAUUUGAUUAGGAAUUUGG
Molecule: long non-coding RNA, 3819 nt
Organism: Ictalurus punctatus (channel catfish)
Lineage: Eukaryota; Metazoa; Chordata; Actinopteri; Siluriformes; Ictaluridae
Source: Ensembl